GGUCGGGUGGUGUAGUUGGUUAUGUACGUUCUACUUCAUGCAAUCACUUCAAUCUCUACUAACACCUUCACAGCACAUCUCGUUAACAGUUUACUGUGACAUACUCCGAGAAGGUCCUGGGAUCGAGCCCCAGCCUGAUCA
Molecule: non-coding RNA, 141 nt
Organism: Rhexocercosporidium sp. MPI-PUGE-AT-0058
Lineage: Eukaryota; Fungi; Ascomycota; Leotiomycetes; Helotiales
Source: the annotation of a GenBank genome assembly